Camarhynchus parvulus is the source of this 1178-nucleotide long non-coding RNA. RefSeq lists it as uncharacterized. NCBI's taxonomy places the organism in Eukaryota, Metazoa, Chordata, Aves, Passeriformes, Thraupidae. The record is from RefSeq and is a predicted model, not a curated record. The transcript is spliced from 3 exons.
UUUACAUACACUUAUAGACAGACUUGGUUUCUGGGGAGGAUUCUGAUUCAGUGCUGGGACAUGAGAGGGACACUGCAAGAGCACAGGCUGAGGUCCUUCACAGGGAGGUGAGCACUUUCUGAUUUGCAGGGAGGCAAGAUCUGAAACGGGACUUUUAUGGUCCUAGAGUUGUCAGUGGGAUGAAAAUUUUGUUUCUGGUGUGACUAAUUUCAGUUUAAGCGCUGGAAACACAGCUGUCCUUGCUGGUGUCUUCACUGCACCAAGCUCUGCUUUUCUCCAGGGCAAUGGGCUCUGUAGGGCAGAGCCUUCCCUUUUUCUUCUUCUUUCCCUUAUUUCUGUAUCAGUUUCAGGUGUAUUUGACAUCUUUGAUAGGGAAAAGAAUUCUUUAAAUAUUAAGAGGAAUUCCUGUGAAUACAUAGACAUUUGGUUCAGUAGUUACUGUAAAGAGUCCAGACAGUGUUCAGCUGCCCGAGGAUGGGCAAGAGAGGACCCAGGCACUGUUGGAAGGGUGAACCCUCUCUUUGGGGUGGCUUCCAAUGAAGAGGUGGCAGGCAACACCAUCUAUCCACUAAGAACUUGCUUUCUCUUCUGCUACUUUGGGCCUCAACUAAAGAUGGAAUAAUGGGUAAAUCUGCCUUCUUAAAGGGCUGUAGAAGAUUUCAGAGUAGGGGAAUCUGCAUUUUCUUCUCUGAACUUGGGUGAUCCUUGAUGAUCCCUCUGCAUCCUCUCCCUCCUGGCUGUGGCAGGCAUUGGGUCCCUUUCUCAGGUGGUUUCCUUCCCUCCCACCCACUGCUGUAAGAAGGGUGCCUGCACACAGCAUAGCCAUGGGAGCCUGCUCUGCAGCGCACUGGAUUGCUGUCCUCUGCCACCAAAGUACCUGAGUGAAGGAGCUCUUCUGGGAGCUUGGAGCUGAUACUGCCUAGGAAGAGGUGGUAGGGAGCAGCCACCAUCUCACUGCCCAGUUACACUGUUGUCACUCAACGACCGCUGUGAUAUCUCUUCUCACUGCAGCCUGCUAUGAACAUGGUUAGGAGGGAAAAACAGUGUGUUACUGCAUGACUUGGAAUAUUACCAUCCAAUUGUCCUGGUUGUGUGAGGAAGGUUUUAACCCCAAAACCACCCCCCAGACCAGAUAGUACCCUUUCUGCAGAGAUUAAGUGGAUAUGAGCAAGCAGGCA